AUGAUGUCUGUUGGGAAUCACGUUCAGUAGCGUUCUCGUUCCCUCCUUCCGCUCCUCCCUCUCUCUUUUCCUCCCUCUCCUGGAAUUUGAAUUCAGGACGUUAAUCUUUUGAAGAAUUGUCACUGUGAAAUGAGAAGUAAGAAGUCCGUCUUAUUGGCUUAAUUCCGGUAAUGAGAAGCGCGAAGAAUAUCAUGCGUACCACACAUAAACCCCAGGCUAACCUGAAACCAACCCACACCACAUUCCCUUCUCUGGACCAUUCGAAAGCCUGCAGGUUGCCUAUAUGUUAGAAGCAUAUGGAAGUGGAUACCUUCACAGCGCACACACACAAGACCUACAGACUACACUAGAGCGCCCUUCUGCGGGCGCGAUGCAGUGCAUGACUACAUCGCACUGCUGUAAGUGGUUGGAGGACACGACAGUGGAUGAAUAAUAGCAUCAUGACUCACUAUAGGGUCACAUAAUGUAAUAGCCGAUGCUGUUACUUAGCGGGCGGCUGAAUGUAUGAAUAUGAGUGAACCUAAGUGGUCCAUAUUAUACUACCAUAUUAAUGGGACGUUGAUGAACAAGUGAUUAAUAUUCCUUAUACUAGGUUGCUGUAUCCAGUCAUAACAACCCUGGGCUCCACCCACAAGUUUACAGUAAUAACUAAGGGACAUUAGGCUGACAACUUCUAGGAUGAGAAGGCCCAAAACGUUAUGGUGACAGUCAACAGGAACGGCAGCAGGUGUGGAUUUGGAGAGGGUAAAGACUAGCAGAGAACUUGUGAUUCUGCUUGCAUCUUCAAUGUGCCCUUCGAGACAAAACAAUAUUCUGGGACAAAAAUAAAUCAAUAAAGGGAAGGACAUAUUAUUCUCCUCAUGGUGCACUUCUCAAGUCUUUAUCAAGCUGAUAUAGUAUUCACACUCAGCCUUUUCAGCCCCUGGAUUCUACUCCACCAGCGAGAUAAGAGGAGCCCUUUCCUUACCCGAGGAAUAAGAAUGCAGCGUCCGUCCCCAUCACACCGUUCAAAGAAACCCUGCAGUACUUUGGCUCCUCGUCCUGCCCGCCCUGGCACAAAUGUCACCCCAACCCGGCAAUAAAUCACAUAGUCCUGUGAUGUGUUUACUUAGUACAGUAAGGA
This is a long non-coding RNA of Salvelinus fontinalis (brook trout), 1123 nucleotides long. RefSeq lists it as uncharacterized. The transcript has 3 exons. NCBI's taxonomy places the organism in Eukaryota, Metazoa, Chordata, Actinopteri, Salmoniformes, Salmonidae. The record is from RefSeq and is a predicted model, not a curated record.